AUGAAACGUUUGUUCCAGUGGGCGUUCUUCAACGAGGACGUGUCACUGUCAUGCAGUUCCCCCGGUCGAAGCCGCCUCGUACUUCGGCGGUCACGCAAGCGGAAGACCCGGAUUCUCCUCACUGCCAAAUUAAUAUUCCCUAUUGAAACGCCGCGGGAAAACCGCACAAAGGAUUUCAGAGCCGUGACGUUCCGAAAACUGACGCACAAUGCUUUUGUGACGCUCCGAGAGUCACUGACGUACGUUUAUCAGGAAACAAAAGGGAAUGGAAAAAGACAAGGAACUCCACUGCUCGGGACUGUCGUGCACCGGUUUAGUGCCUCAAAACAGUUUUGCGUUUACUCUACAGCCAGUCACGCAGAAGGAGCAGCAGAAGGAGCACGUGUGGGGCAUUAACACAAUUUCUCAGAGAAAACGCAAGUUUCUACAGACUGGUUUGUGCACAGUUUGUCUUCAGCAAGACUUCACAAACAAGACUUAAGAUUCACAGAGGAACAAGCUAACUGAGCCAAACUGUACUGUCUUUGCUCCGUUGGUUGAAAUUGCACUAGUACAAGUACAUACCCUUUCACGUGCAGAGAUAUUUUGACAAAAGAUCUUCAGCUGACCUUAGUCUCCUCUAACCUCUGCUCCGCCACGUGAAGAAGAGUUCAGGAAAUUCAGUAGACAAUAGAAGGAGGUUUUGUUAGUUAUAGCGAUAAACUCGUAUAAAUGCACACCUUGCCCUCUACACAAAGAAUUAACAAUAACAAAUAAGAGCUAUUCUCGAGGCAGGGUGUUAAAGAACAUUCGAAGACAAGAAAAAGAGAUCUGUUAAAGUGCAUUUACCUAUAGGUAUUCAUAUUAUGACCAUUACUAAUUUCAGUCAGCAGCACAAAUAGGACAACUCCUAUUUUCAAAGAGGGCAACACUCGGCAAUAUACAGAGAAGCACAUGCAAAGAUAAUACAUUUGCUUUUUAAGUCCUAAGUAACAAGGUUGUUAUAAUACUUAGUCUGUAGAAAAGAGGGAGGACAGGAGACUGCUAACGCAGUUUCUGCUGUAAAGCAUCCAGACGAUGUCCCUUUAUUGCAGGCAGCUUCUCGAGAUCUGUUUGCAUCCGUUUCUGCUAGAGAGUGAAAAACGUGUGUUUAAAUGCAUUAGAAAGAGGCAGACAACAUCCUCUGGUGCUUCUGUAGCACACGCAGUAAAUCAAUCCACUUUUUUCCUCGCAUAGCACACUAAAUAUUAAAAAGUUAUCCAAAUAAAGAUUCAAGCUCUGACUCCGCA
RNAcentral lists this long non-coding RNA (1268 nucleotides) under Phasianus colchicus (ring-necked pheasant). RNAcentral's name for it is "lncRNA (ENSPCLG00000012772.1)". Lineage: Eukaryota; Metazoa; Chordata; Aves; Galliformes; Phasianidae. The record is from RNAcentral.